Molecule: long non-coding RNA, 298 nt
Organism: Rhipicephalus microplus (southern cattle tick)
Lineage: Eukaryota; Metazoa; Arthropoda; Arachnida; Ixodida; Ixodidae
Source: RefSeq, a predicted model, not a curated record
CGCCUACGAACAACCUCUUCGUUCUCGGCAAGCUUCGAAGACCUAUCGGCUGCCUUCUCAAGAUGGUUUCGCUUAAACUCGAUCUCUGUGUGCUCUUGCACUCCUUAGCAUACGCGAAUCCUCCUGCCAAUCGCCGCCGUGAAAACACAGACAGCGUCAGGGAAAGACGUCGUCUUCGACAUAAACUUUGCAGAAACUCCUGGAGAAGGCACAUUUUUUGUGAACAAUGGUGCAUCCCACGGGCUACUUCAGGACCGUCGUCAAUGACAGCUACAAAGCGAUUAACGUGAGUGUUUGG